Molecule: long non-coding RNA, 959 nt
Organism: Malus domestica (apple)
Lineage: Eukaryota; Viridiplantae; Streptophyta; Magnoliopsida; Rosales; Rosaceae
Source: RefSeq, a predicted model, not a curated record
UUCCCUCUUUCUUUCCUGUGAACUCCAAACCUGAACCCUCGCUCUUUCUUUCCCUCUUUAUUUCCGAGUUGUGAUAAAUCUGGAACCCUCCCUCCUUGAACCCUCCUUCUUUCCCCUUCUUUCGAACCCAAUCUGGAACCCUCAAUUCCCUGUACACCCCAAAUCUCCCUCUCUUUCUUUCCCUCUUUCUUUCCACGCAAACCCCAAUCUGGAACCCUCCUUGAACCCCUCUGUCUUUCCCUGUAGACCCCAAAUCCUGUCGAAUCAAAUCCCAAAUUCAAGGGCCAUACAAGUUGUCGCACAAGCUACCGCUAAAUGCUCUGAUUAUAUCUUUCAAGCUCUCAAACCAAGCGAGUCAACCACUGCCAGCACUCUUGUUGCUUAGGUUGGUUUUGCAACUUGCUACCGCUCUGUGAUUAGCUUGGGUUGAUGAGGUAUGCUUCGGAAAGCUAAAAAGGAAGAUGGUGGUAUUGCCGAUUUGGGGUUUUAGUGACUAAUCAGACUUGUCCAAGUUGGGGUUUUGCCGAAAUUCAAUGAUUUUGAUAUACUUGUGGCCAACCCUAGAAAACAAAAAUUAUACAUCCAAGUCAACGAUUGGAUUCGCAGACUUAACUAUUGGUACAAGAGAGGCGGAAGUGACGCAGCUGAGGGUCGAGGAUAAGCAAAUGAUGGCGUAGCUGAGGGCCCAGGGCGAUGAGAUGAAGACCUGUGUCGGGAGGGUGCAAGAACUUGUACAAGCCAUACAGAUGUCGAGCCUCCAAAUCUCGCUACCAGCACCUCAUCUUACUCCACCUUCGACCUUAAAGCCACCUUGCCCUGCCGAUACCCAGUAGCCUGAUGUAUUAAACUUAGUCCACUUGUAGUUUUUUCUUUUUGUUUGGACAUCUUGUAUGUACAUUUUCAUAUAUUUUAUAAUUAAAUAUUUUUGCUUGGUUAAUUAAUUAUUCUUUAGAAUUUAA